GUCUGAACAGGGGACCGCCACGCACGCAGGCCAUGUCCAGUGACUCCCCAGCACUGUGGGAGCUGGUGGAGGAACAUGUUCCACUCCCAGAGCGGCCUGAAGUGAAGAGGAUUUUGGGGGAGGCAGCGGUGGACCUGAGUCUGGAGUUGCGAGAGGAGGUGGGAGUCCGGUGGGUGGGGGUGGGUCGCAUUCCAGGCCUGCCCCACAACUCACGUGGUUUCCUGCCUCCACCAGGUCCCUAACCCUAUUUUGGUGACCCCCUAACACCUUGUUUUCAAUGUCUGCCCUUUCUCUCAUGUUUGACUCCCCACCCCCACCCCUGCAAUGCCCCCCAACACACACACACCCAUCCCCUCUGCCCCAGUGGCAAGGUGCCCCAGCUCUCCUUGCAGGUGGCGAUGCUAAAGGCACUGCUCCAAGAGUUCCGAUCUUCUCAAGCCUCGGGAUCCCACCCCAUCUCCGACUCUCCCUCCCUUCUGGCACCACCACCCCACUUGAGGGAUAUCAUGCGCCAAGAACUCCGACAGUUGCUCCAAGGCCUCCGCCUUAAGGCUAUCUGUGAGGGCAGGGACCAGACCCAGGCGUGGGCCCAGUAUAAUCCCAGGGUCCUUCGUUUUGCCUUAGAGGAUCCCAGGUGUGACUCAACACAACAGGAACUGUCCCAGAAGAGAGCUGGUGAGCCCAGGACUAGAAUGAGCAACACAGAGGGGGUGAUGUUAACUUCACCUGUCAGCAGCUGUCACAGGGACCUCAGUGUCAUCAAGAACGAACUGAAUGUGUCUAACAUUGACCAAGUUGCCAGACACCUGAGGAGACUCUUGGAGGAGGAGUGUCACAUGUUGCAGAGACAGGUCUCUGAGCUGCAGCACUGUCUGGAAAUGGAGCAGAUGCAGGCUUGCCAGCCCUCCAAGGCCACCCUAGAGCCCACCCUGGCAGAGAUAAAGGAACAGAAGAAGGCCAUGGAACAGGAGCUACGGUUCUCUCUGGGGCCUUCCAGUGUCUCUGCCAAGCACAGGCAGAAGCCCUUGAGGUCCAUUCCGGGCCUCAGACCCUUUCCUUGUCUCCAUGGCUACAUGCCUACACCUCCUUCGGAACGCUGCCCCCACCCUCAAGGUCAGGCAACCACCCACCGCCGCUGGGGACGGCAACUUCGAUACAGCUACUGGGAAGAGCCUACUUCCACAGCCGUGGCCAAUGCAGCAUCCCAGGCUCCGACCUGA
RNAcentral lists this long non-coding RNA (1220 nucleotides) under Cricetulus griseus (Chinese hamster). Its description in RNAcentral is "lncRNA (ENSCGRG00000025929.1)". Lineage: Eukaryota; Metazoa; Chordata; Mammalia; Rodentia; Cricetidae. The record is from RNAcentral.